GCAAAAAUCUCCAGUUGAACUUGAAUAUUGGCAGCGUAAAAAUGCUGAUCGUCCGAUUUGGAAUUUUGUUGAGUAUCCUCGGCCUUGUGGCUGCGAACUGUCAACGAAAUGGAGAAACUUGUCAUAUGCAUACGGAUUGUUGCUCAGGACAGUGCCUAACAUACCUAUCCCAUUGUGCAGCUUGUCCAAAUUGCCAUUUGCCUAUGCAACUGGGAUAAGCCCCACAAACAUGCUCGAUCACAAUUAAACAAGAUGUAUAUUAAACAGUUAAUAAAAUUAUUGAAUUAUCCUGCUAAA
Molecule: non-coding RNA, 297 nt
Organism: Drosophila takahashii
Lineage: Eukaryota; Metazoa; Arthropoda; Insecta; Diptera; Drosophilidae
Source: RefSeq, a predicted model, not a curated record